AGGUAGUCUCGCCCUGCCAGUCGUACUCCAUGCCUGAUGGGGUCAGGGAACCCGGUGAAAGUCCGGGACUGACGCGCAGCGGUGAGGAUGACGGGCGGGGCACGCCCCUUCUCCGGGAGGGGCAGCCACUGGAGCCUGGCUCCGGGAAGGCGCACCGCACCGAUCGAUUCCGAGUCCGAAGACCUGCUGGCUCUGGCGGCGCCCG
RNAcentral lists this non-coding RNA (205 nucleotides) under Nocardioides luteus. The record is from RNAcentral. Lineage: Bacteria; Bacillati; Actinomycetota; Actinomycetes; Propionibacteriales; Nocardioidaceae.